CCUACGGGUGGCAGCAGUGAGGAAUAUUGCUCAAUGGGCGGAACCCUGACCCAGCCAAGUCGCGUGCGGGAUGGAGGCCCUACGGGUCUUACACCGCUUUUGCACGGGGGUAACACCCUCCACUUGUGGAAGUCUGCACGUACCGUGCGCAUACUGGCCGGCUAAUUCCGUGACCGCAGCCGCGGUCAUACGGAGGUCCCGAGCGUUAUCGGGAUUCAUUGGGCUUACCGGGAAGGUAAGCGGGCGUUCAAGUCACAUCGAAAAUCUCGCGUCUCAACCGCGACCCGCAGUUGAAACGUGACUCCUUGAGUGCAGAAGAGGCAGGCGGAAUUCGUGGUGUAGCGGUGAAAUGCGUAGAUAUCACGAGGAACCCCGAUGGCGAAGACAGCCUGCCGGGGUGCGACUGACGCUGAGGCUCGAAGGUGUGGGUAUCAAACAGGAUUAGAUACCCUUGUAGUC
Molecule: ribosomal RNA, 459 nt
Filed under: uncultured bacterium
Lineage: Bacteria
Description: partial 16S ribosomal RNA
Rfam family: Bacterial small subunit ribosomal RNA
Source: RNAcentral